GUGAGGAAUAUUGGACAAUGGGCGCAAGCCUGAUCCAGCCAUGCCGCGUGCAGGAAGACGCAUCUAUGGUGUGUAAACUGCUUUUGUACGGGAAGAAACACUCCCUCGUGAGGGAGCUUGACGGUACCGUAAGAAUAAGGAUCGGCUAACUCCGUGCCAGCAGCCGCGGUAAUACGGAGGAUCCAAGCGUUAUCCGGAAUCAUUGGGUUUAAAGGGUCCGUAGGCGGUUUAAUAAGUCAGUGGUGAAAGCCCAUCGCUCAACGAUGGAACGGCCAUUGAUACUGUUAGACUUGAAUUACAAGGAAGUAACUAGAAUAUGUAGUGUAGCGGUGAAAUGCUUAGAUAUUACAUGGAAUACCAAUUGCGAAGGCAGGUUACUACUUGUGGAUUGACGCUAAUGGACGAAAGCGUGGGGAGCAAACAGGAUUAGAAACCCGAGUAGUCC
RNAcentral lists this ribosomal RNA (445 nucleotides) under uncultured bacterium. RNAcentral describes it as "partial 16S ribosomal RNA". It matches the Rfam family "Bacterial small subunit ribosomal RNA", at positions 354 to 796 of the family's 1533-position model. The record is from RNAcentral.